CAAAUCUGUGUCUGUGCCUGCCCAGGGCCCGUCCCCGGGUGAGUGGCCCCGGCAGGGACUGGGAUCUUCCCGGGCCAUCCCAGCAGGAUUUUCCCUCCCCAUCCCGGCUCCAAGCGAUGCUGCUGAGCCUUCCUGCUCCAGCCGGGCAGGGAGCAGCUCUGGGAGGGCGUUUUCCCUUCCCAAUCCCGCAUUUCCUCAUCCUCUGUGCUGCGAGGAGCCCGGGAAUGGCAGCAGGAGCCGGGAUCCAGUUUGGGAUCCUCCUGGAGCGAUGAUUGCUGGAAUCCAGGGUGGGAACAAACCUCGGGCUCCCUCUCCCUGCGCUCUCCCAGCUUUACCCUCUCUGCGCUUGGAAGUUUUCUGUUCUUUUCCCUCCAAAAGGAGGCACAACCUUGAGGAAAAGGCUCGGGAAAAGCUCGGGAAGGAAGGGCGUUGUCGCAGGCGUUGUUGGAGGAGCGGAUGUUUAACUCCAGGAAUGAAAACAAAACCCCUUGGAGGCGAUCCCGGGGCCUCGAGGGUCCGGAAUCAUCAGGAAUUGGGGCUGGGAAAACGGGAAUGGCAAGAGGGAGAACGCCAGGAGGGAGAAGGAGCCAAAAGCAGAGCUCGGGGCACGGUGGAAGGGUCCUGGCAGGGAAAUAAAAGGCGCAGCUUUAUCCCUCCGAGCUGCCAGAGGCUUGGGAAGCGGCGGCUGGGAAAGGAGCAGGGUGGGAGACAGCAGAGCCCGGCCGGGGAUCGGGAGGGAUCGGAGGAACGGGACAAUCCCGAGCCUUUGGCACAGGGAAAUCACUGCAGGAUCCCCUCGGUUCCCGCUGAUGCUCCCAGGCCGGGCCCGGGCAGCAGCUCCGGCUCCUGGGAUUUUGACUCCGGAGGUUUUGGCUCCCAGGGUUUUGAUUCCGGAGGUUUUGACUCCCGGGGCUUUGAUUCUGGAGGUUUUGGCCCCCGGGGUUUUGACUCCGGAGGUUUUGACUCCAGGGAUUUUGGCUCCCGGGGAUUUUGGCUCCCGGGAUUUUAAUUCCCGAACGCUCCUCACCCCACAAACCCUCCCUGCCCGCUGUACCCGGCCCUCUCCAGCUCCUUUCCAGGGAAUUCCCAGGGAUGUUCCCGGGAUUGUUCCUGCUGGUGGCUCUGGCUCUGCUCAGCCCGAACCCCCCUGGGUGCCAGCAGGGCUCAGCUCCAUCCUCAUCCUCAUCCUCCUGCAUCUCUCGUUAUUCCCACUCUGGCAGCAGGGACGGGAGCUCUGGAAGAAACUGGGAAUUUCAUUUAUUUCAGGGUUUUUUUGUUUGUUUUUCUGGGGGGGAGAGGUUGGUGUUUGUUUUUUGUUUUUGUUGUUGGUUUUUUUUAGAUUGUGGGUUUUUGUUUUAUUUGGGUUUUUUGUUAUUUUUUUUGUUUGGUUUUCUUGUUGUUUGGGGUAUUUUUUUUAAUUUGAAAAGUCCACUCGGCAGGAAAAAGGGCCAGAAAUGCAUCUCAGAGGAAAAAAAACCCCAAAUUCAUGUCCAGCUGGAGCUGGAGGGAGAACAGAGCUUGGCAGGACAGAAUUCUCUGGAAUUCCAGAGCCUCCUCCUCCUCUGGAAGUGGCUCGGGAUGUUCUCUGGCUCUCAUGGAUUCAGCCACUCGCUUUUAUGGAUUCCCUGAAAAGCUGGAGCAGCAAAACCCCCCUGGCUUCUGCCUGGAGCUGAAACUGUGGAGCAACACCUGGAAAUUCCCAAACCGUGGCUUGCAACACCUGAAUUUUCCUUUCUCACCCCAUCCAGGUGCUGAGAGCUGCUCUUCUUCCCACGUGGAAUAAUCUGGGAGCCCCCAAAUCUGCAGGGUGAGCCCAUUCCUGAUCCCUUUAUUAAAUUAUUCCUGGAGCAUCAGCAGGUGCUCCCAGGCACCAGAACAGGCCAGAAAAGUUCUUUUUUUUCUGUUUUUUUGGUUUUUCCACGUGUCCUGGGGAAGCUCAGAGCAGGGCCCACGUGCAGGGGAGGUUUUUAUUAAUUAUGGUGGAACAGCUCCGAGAAACAACCGCGGUUUCCAUGGAAGCAGCGGUGACAAUGUCACCCCGCUCUCGAGAUGCUCUGGGUGCUCCCAACAAUUCCCUUCCUUUUUUGAGGCAGAUGAUGGGAAAACAUUCCCAAGGGAUAAACUCGGUGUCCUCUCAUCCCAAUUUUGUGCCCAGAGGGGGCUGUGGGUGAAGCUGAUCCAGGAUGGGAUUUGGGAAUGUUGGAUUUUGGGAAUUCUGGUGAGCCUGGAGGUGCUGGAGGAGGGGUAAAGCUCAGGAAGCUGCCCUGGAAUAAAUUGGGAUCCUGUCCAGGAGGGGGAAUGGGAGAGCAGGAGAAUUGCUAAUGCUGCUUUAAUGAAUGAAAAAAUUUAAAUUAAAAAAAUUAAAUUAUUAAAAAAAAUUAUUAUCAUUAGUAUUAUUAUUAAUAAUAAUUAAAUUAUUAUUUAAAUUAUUGAAGAGCAGCAAUAGAUAAUAAAACUCUGGGAGCUGAGUUCUCCCUGCUCCUUCCAGCCCUCUGUGCCAGGCAAAGGUGACCUUUUAACCUUAUUAUUAUUAUUAUUAUUAUUAUUAUUAUUAUUAUUAUUACUAUUAUUAUUAGUAUCA
Poecile atricapillus (Black-capped chickadee) is the source of this 2581-nucleotide RNA transcript. RefSeq lists it as uncharacterized. The transcript is spliced from 2 exons. The record is from RefSeq and is a predicted model, not a curated record. NCBI's taxonomy places the organism in Eukaryota, Metazoa, Chordata, Aves, Passeriformes, Paridae.